UGGCCCCAGGUUAACGCCUGCAACCCCGGAGGGCCACAAAUCAAAGGUGGAUAAUCAUGAUGAGACGGGAGCAAGCUUAAGGGUACCAGAUGGAUAAUCACAUAUUCAUACCAUGGGACAUGCCCCUCGGAUGCAUCCUCAAGAAGUGAGAAAAGUUUGAACCCCAAACCCUAAAAAGGAAAAGGCUAAUAUUUUUCUGUAACACAGCUUGGGUUGAAUAAAAUCUCCAGGACCAGUAAUGUUGGCCAGAAAACAGAAGCAUAAAUUUUAAUACAAUCCAUCAACUAGAUUUGUUUUGCUGUCAACAGGGAAAAUGAACAGAAAUCCUUUAUGUACAGGCCUUCGUGGCCCUAAUAAACAAC
Molecule: long non-coding RNA, 362 nt
Filed under: Pan troglodytes (chimpanzee)
Lineage: Eukaryota; Metazoa; Chordata; Mammalia; Primates; Hominidae
Description: long non-coding RNA NONPTRT011377
Source: RNAcentral